UUCUGGGCUAAGAAAGCAUCCUGGUGGAUUCGUUCUGUAUCUUGACCAAGGCUUCCAGAGAGAGUUGCCUGCAGGACCUCAGCAUCUGUUGCCCUGUGCCACUUCAGAUUUCUGCUCUCCCCAUUCUGGUGCAGCAUUCCUUGACCACCCCAGCUACAAUUCAAGCCAGCCUCAAUCCAGCUUGUGUCACUACUUUGGAAGGGAAAUCAGUCUGCAUUGUGCUUUUACACAUAAUCUUCUUGUUAUGACACCUGAGGAGCAAGAAGUGGAGAAUUCUUAAGCAAGGAGGUGGUCUUUGUUCUGCAUUUGGAAGGAGCUAAGCUUACUGCAGGUGUAAUGAAGGCAAGUGGAUGUCGGAAAGCGGUACAAACUUGUGUAAAAGUACGGAAGGAAAAGUGACAACUUGGUGUGCCUGGAGUGAAAGGUUUCUUUUUUGGAGAGAUUUACACCUCGCUAUCUUCUCUGGCUGGCUCAACCU
Molecule: long non-coding RNA, 478 nt
Filed under: Homo sapiens (human)
Lineage: Eukaryota; Metazoa; Chordata; Mammalia; Primates; Hominidae
Description: HSALNT0351360
Source: RNAcentral